GACGAACGCUGGCGGCGUGCUUAACACAUGCAAGUCGAACGAUGAAGCUGGAGCUUGCUCCGGUGGAUUAGUGGCGAACGGGUGAGUAACACGUGAGCAAUCUGCCCUUGACUCUGGGAUAACUGCGGGAAACUGUAGCUAAUACCGGAUACUUUCACUGGAAGGCAUCUUCUGGUGAAGUAAGAAUUUCGGUCAAGGAUGAGCUCGCGGCCUAUCAUCUUGUUGGUGAGGUAACGGCUCACCAAGGCGACGACGGGUAGCCGGCCUGAGAGGGUGGCCGGCCACACUGGGACUGAGACACGGCCCAGACGCCUACGGGAGGCAGCAGUGGGGAAUAUUGCACAAUGGGCGCAAGCCUGAUGCAGCAACGCCGCGUGAGGGAUGAAGGCCUUCGGGUUGUAAACCUCUUUUAGCCGGGAAGAAGCGAAAGUGACGGUACCUGCAGAAAAAGCACCGGCUAACUACGUGCCAGCCGCCGCAGUAA
RNAcentral lists this ribosomal RNA (484 nucleotides) under uncultured bacterium. RNAcentral describes it as "partial 16S ribosomal RNA". It matches the Rfam family "Bacterial small subunit ribosomal RNA", at positions 28 to 523 of the family's 1533-position model. The record is from RNAcentral.